CGUACAUAAACUAAAAAUUGACAAUAGAAUUGGGCGGGUGCUUUUGCUGAUGAAUCACCCGAACUGAAUUUCAGAGCCCUAAAUAACUCUCCGUACAAUUUCACUGCGAGAAGACGAAGAAGAGCAUGAGCAACGAUAGACAGUUCGAAUUCUGCGUUGUUUGCAAGCUCAAUCACAAUCAAGGACGCCGCCAUAACUUCCUCCCUAACCACAAGAAGUCGCUCGCGGCGGUGCUCUCCCGUUUCCAGUCGAAGCUUUCCGAUAUCCGGUUCUUCCUCAAAAACCCUAUCCCUCUGCGCCCUGAGCAUGAUUCGCUUAAUCGACUUUGGUGUAUAUUCUGCGAUCGUGAUAUACUUGAACUCGACAGCUUCUACGCUAGUGACAAUGCGAUUAGGCAUUUGUCUGGUGCGGAUCAUAUGAAGAAAGUUAAAGGAUUUUUGUGGAAGUAUGGUGGUGGAAUGGACAAGGUUGAUACUCUUCGGAUUACAGAGGCUGACUUCUCCAAGUGGGAGAAGAAGUGCAAUCUUUCGAAGAAGGGAGCUCUUGAUGGAGGAUCUCGGGCAACGUCAAUUGGACCGUCGAAUGAUAUCCAAAAUAAAACUAACUCUGACUAUCUAAAUUGUUUUGAAAAAGAUAAUGUUCAUGCUCUUAACGUUGAUGUUUCAAAUAGUGUUGUACCUUUACAAAAUUAUACGGAUGAGAGAUCACAGAUAUUUGAAAACAAAAUGCAUGGUGUUACAAAUGGACCUAAUAUGCGCAGUACGUCCAUGGGCGUACAACUCGGUGAAGAUGCUUGUUCCUCCAGUGGCUUAUCAAAUGCCCAAAAGAUCUUGGGGUUUCAUGCCGCAGCUUCUCACGAAUGUCUUAAUGGAGGUUCUGGAACCUCGGAUGGAAGAAUGUCAAAGGGGAUGAAGAGUUCUCUGGGUUCACCAAGCAUUACACAGAUAUCUUUAACAUUUCAAGAAGAUUCCCUGGGCAAUGUUCAUUCUGGAGCACCUCCUCCGUGGUUCAAUGCGGUUGAAAAAAGUCAGCUAGAUUUUGUAUCAAAUCCUGGAAGGAGUGACCCCUUCCCUCCCAAUCAGAAGAAGAAGUCGAAACUAAACCCAAACAGGGUUGGUGCUGCUUGGGCAGAGAGAAGAAGAGUUGAACUGGAGUUGGAGAGUAAAGGGGAGCUCGUGACAAACACUUUCGAUGUGAACUGGCUCCCAAAUUUUGGCAGAGUUUGGCAAUCAGGUACUAGGAAGGAAUCUAGAAAAGAAUUUCAGCUGGAGAAUCACAAAUCUUCUGAGGUUGAAAGCCAAUCCCAGAGUAGGGUGCAGUUACAGCCUUAUGUCAGCAAGCGAAAGCGCAAAGAUCCUGUUGAUGAUGAGCUUGACUGACCUGCUCUGUAUGGUGACCAAAUUAUGAAAUUCAUGUGUACAUUCUUCUUGAUAUACUUUUUGGGUUUCCCGUGUAUGAGUUGGGGUGCCUCAUAUCUAUUGCUUACAAAUAAUUUGCGAUGAAUGUUGAAGGCGACAGGUUCUCUAAUUUUGACAGUUUCCUCUUACUCUAUUGAAGACGAACUUCCAGUGCAUUAUAAUAUCAUGAAGGCCAUAUGUUAUAGGCGUCAAAACUGUGAUAUCUUGUAGAUGGUUUUUUUUUUACGACUGUGGCCUUGGAUCUUAAUAGCUGUUCAUGCAAUUCAAGUUUGCUGCAGAGUCGCCACUGAAACAGUGUGUUUUUUGUGCUAUUGUUCUCUCAUUCGCUGAAAACUCGUGUCAUACUGGAGGGUUGUGGAAAGAAAACAUGGAGGAUUCUUUUUUAACUAUGGAUUUUUUUCUCUCUA
This is an RNA transcript of Solanum pennellii, 1825 nucleotides long. It is a transcript of the gene named TITAN-like protein, with no coding region annotated. The transcript has 8 exons. The record is from RefSeq and is a predicted model, not a curated record. NCBI's taxonomy places the organism in Eukaryota, Viridiplantae, Streptophyta, Magnoliopsida, Solanales, Solanaceae.